Bactrocera latifrons is the source of this 383-nucleotide long non-coding RNA. RefSeq lists it as uncharacterized. The record is from RefSeq and is a predicted model, not a curated record. The transcript has 2 exons. Lineage: Eukaryota; Metazoa; Arthropoda; Insecta; Diptera; Tephritidae.
ACAUGAAUAAAUUUAGUGAAAGAUAGAGAAAAUCCAUGUGCUAUUGUCCAAAAUUUUGAACUUUUAAUCGUGAAUAUUUUUAAACAUAUAAGGCAUUUUUAUAUUAUUUUUAGAUUUUACUCCUCUGCAAAAGCUUCCUUAUCCGCACAUAUCCCAUUUACAGGGAAAUUCUGUUUUUUUACCCCUCCGCCAAAGUAAUCAGAAUCGUGCCAAUCUCACACAAAAAUAUAUGUAUACUAUGCAUGAACAUAAUCUUUUUGACGUUAGCCAAUACUGCUGAAAUCUACAAAUCAUUUACUGUGAAGCAAUGUCAUCUGAACCGGUGUGUAUGCCAGUAAUGACAUUGACGAACUCGCCGUCAGUGUCGCCAUUGCGUAGCUCAA